GUGUUCACUUCAGCAGCACAUACACUAAAAUUGGAAUGAUACAGAGAAGAUUAACAUGGCCCCUGUGCAAGAAUGACAUGCAAAUUUGUAAAGUGUUCCAAGUUUAA
Molecule: small nuclear RNA, 107 nt
Organism: Cervus hanglu yarkandensis (Yarkand deer)
Lineage: Eukaryota; Metazoa; Chordata; Mammalia; Artiodactyla; Cervidae
Source: Ensembl